GAAACCAAAUAAAAGGGCCCCCCUCACAAAACCCUCGAUACUCUCCAUCAGUGCCCUAUCUGCCUCACGAAGCCUCUCUCGCCAUUCUCUCUCACCCUCGUCUCUCACAGACCACAUUCUCAAGCCUCAUAGUAAGCACCUCAUCUUCUUCAAGCGAGCUUCUAUUUUGCAAGCUUUCAUCUUCUUCAACAAGCUAAAGAAAAGAUGGCUCGAAAUGAGGAAAAGGCUCAGUCAAUGCUCAAUCGAUUCCUCGCAUUCAAGAACGAAGAGAAGAAGAAACCAAAAGAGCGUCGCCCUUACCUAGCCUCCGAGUGUCGAGACCUUGCUGAAGCUGACAAAUGGAGGCAGCAGAUAAUUCGAGAAAUCGGUCGCAAAGUCAUGGAAAUUCAAAACCCUGGAUUGGGAGAACAUAGAUUAAGAGACCUCAAUGAUGAAAUCAACAAAUUGAUCAGAGAGAAAGGCCAUUGGGAACACAGAAUCGUUGAGCUUGGUGGCCCCAAUUAUGCAAGAACAGGUGCUAAAAUGACUGAUUUGGAAGGAAACAUUGUUGAUGUUCCAAACCCUAGUGGUAGAGGCGCUGGUUAUCGUUAUUUUGGAGCUGCAAAGCAUUUGCCUGGUGUUAAAGAGUUGUUUGAGAAACCACCUGAAACUAAGAAGAGGAGGUCUAGAUAUGAAAUUUUUAAGAGAAUUGACGCUAGUUAUUAUGGGUAUCGAGACGACGAAGAUGGGAUUCUUGAGAAGCUUGAGAAACCAGCUGAAGAGGAGAUGAGGAUGAAUGCAUUGAAAGAAUGGGAGAGCAUUGAAGCAGUGAAGAGAGAGGCAAGGAGGUCGGUUAAGAGUGGGGAAGUUGUUAAUGUGAUACCCAUUUUGUUUGAAGAGGAGGAGGAGAUUGUUGAGGAGGAGAGGAAGGCUAGAGAGAAAGAGAGGAGUAAGGAGCAAAAGGAGUUUAUUGUUCAUGUGCCUCUUCCUGAUGAAAAGGAGAUUGAGAGGAUGGUUUUGGAGAAGAAGAAGAUGGAGCUUUUGAGCAAGUACACGAGUGAGGGGCUUUUGGAGGAACAGAUUGAAGCAAAGGCCAUGCUUAAUGUUAAGCAAUAAAUGUUGCUUUCUUUUGGGAGGAGCUCUGGAUCAAAGAAUGGGUAGCCUAAAAAAAUCCCAGGCUAAUGAUGAUGACAGAGUAGUAAUAACCAAGUCCCCUCACCCCAAGCCCUCCUCCACUAAGUACUAAACCUGGUGCUUAUGCUGCUCUUGCCUCCAUGAAUUAUGCAGAUUUUUGGGUCAAUUUUUGGAUAAUUGAUGACUAAGAUGACAUGAUCACCUCGUGAGCGAUAAAAAUGCUUCUCAAACCAUAUCAGAUUCUGGCUAUUCAAAUAGAAGGAAACAUUUUCAUGUACAGGCCUGAGCACUGCAAAUGGCAAUUCGUCAUUGAUUCCCCUCUAGUUUUCCCUACAUUAUCUGGGGAUCUUGAAGUUCAAAGCCAGAUCCUUUGAAAAGGCUGAAAAUGAUUGCAGAGAGGAAAUUAAAGAAUAUGUAGGGAUUCUUGAAAUUGUAAGAGGCAAUGAUUUUAAUAAAUGUAAAGCAAAAAACAUGUGGUGAUGGUUCAUCUUUGACUAAACUCUUCCUUGUAAUUACAUUUCUUUGGUGCUACUUUGUAACUUAGGGUAUUUCGCACACGUAAAUUACCAACUAAAAAAUGUGGAUUGAAAUAAGCUUGUUCGUAAUGGUAUUGUUUUGCAUUUACUUGCUA
Amborella trichopoda is the source of this 1744-nucleotide RNA transcript. RefSeq lists it as uncharacterized. The record is from RefSeq and is a predicted model, not a curated record. Lineage: Eukaryota; Viridiplantae; Streptophyta; Magnoliopsida; Amborellales; Amborellaceae.